RNAcentral lists this long non-coding RNA (890 nucleotides) under Pan troglodytes (chimpanzee). RNAcentral's name for it is "long non-coding RNA NONPTRT000223". The record is from RNAcentral. Lineage: Eukaryota; Metazoa; Chordata; Mammalia; Primates; Hominidae.
GGGCAGUGAAGGUCUUGGAGCUCAGUCUGUAAGUCAUGGAUUCACCUGGGGCCGCAGAUUUCAGGCCUGGAAGGACUGGCCGGGAAAGCCCAGGAGGCCGCCAGACAUUCAGUGGUGUGGGGAGGGCACUGAUGACUUUGGGUAGGUUCUGGGAGGGACAAAGAGGCGGGGAGAAGAAAGAAGCUGUGGAGCAGAGAUGAGCUGUUUUGGACUUCUCCUGGGGGGCCUAGCUCCAAGGGUUCUGAGUACAGGUAGCAUUACUUGUCUUGGGGUCAUUGAUAGGGCAGAUAACGUGCACUGUUUGUGUGGUGUGGGUGCCCUGUGUGCCAUGUUUAAGGCAGUGUUUGUGUGAAGUGUGUGGUGCAGUGUAUACAGCAGGGGUGCUGCCUUGCAAGCUGUGCGCACAGAACGGGGUGUGCAGUAGUCGGUGCACACGUUAGCAUCAGGCAGUGGGGAAGGGGCAGUGUGUGCAGGAGGUACUGCAUGCUUUAUGGGCUGCGUAUGCAGCGCGCAGUGUUUGUGUGCACGUGUGUGCAUCAGGCAGUGCGUGGGUGUGGUGUGUAAGCAGGUAGUGAGUACCUUAUGGGCUAUGUAUACAGCAAGGCAUAUGCAUCAGGCAGUGUGUGGGCAGUAGGCAGUGUGUGUGUUUGUUAUCAGGCAGUAUAUGUGUGCAGUGUGCCGUGCGGCAGGCUACCUGUGUUUAUAUCGGGUAGUGUGUGUGUGUUUAUGUGCAGCAAGGGUGUGCAGUAGGUAUGCAGUAGACUGUGUGCAGCAGGCAGUGUGUGUGUGUGUACAGCAGGUGGUGUGCAGCAGGCAGUGUGUGUAUGUAUCAGGCGGUGUGUGGUGUGUGUUUAUGUGCAGCAUGCAGCGAGUACUUUGUUGUACAGCAG